RNAcentral lists this ribosomal RNA (503 nucleotides) under uncultured bacterium. RNAcentral describes it as "partial 16S ribosomal RNA". It matches the Rfam family "Bacterial small subunit ribosomal RNA", at positions 30 to 523 of the family's 1533-position model. The record is from RNAcentral.
AUUGAACGCUGGCGGCAGGCUUAACACAUGCAAGUCGAGCGGAGUGAUGGUGCUUGCACUAUCACUUAGCGGCGGACGGGUGAGUAAUGCUUAGGAAUCUGCCUAUUAGUGGGGGACAACAUCUCGAAAGGGAUGCUAAUACCGCAUACGUCCUACGGGAGAGAGCAGGGGAUCACUUGUGACCUUGCGCUAAUAGAUGAGCCUAAGUCGGAUUAGCUAGUUGGUGGGGUAAAGGCCUACCAAGGCGACGAUCUGUAGCGGGUCUGAGAGGAUGAUCCGCCACACUGGGACGGAGACACGGCCCAGACUCCUACGGGAGGCAGCAGUGGGGAAUAGUGGACAAUGGGGGGAACCCUGAUCCAGCCAUGCCGCGUGGGUGAAGAAGGCCUUAUGGUUGUAAAGCACUUUAAGCGAGGAGGAGGCUCUUUUGGUUAAUACCCAAGAUGAGUGGACGUUACUCGCAGAAUAAGCACCGGCUAACUCUGUGCCAGCCGCCGCGGUAA